CAAUAGCGUAUAUUAAAGUUGUUGCAGUUAAAAAGCUCGUAGUUGGAUUUGUGGCGUACGGUGGGUUCCGGGCACUUGUUGUCUGAGUAACUUGCUGUUGCCAUCCUUGGGUGGAACCUGUGUGGCAUUAGGUUGUCGUGCAGGGGAUGCCCAUCAUUUACUGUGAAAAAAUUAGAGUGUUCAAAGCAGGCUUAUGCCGUUGAAUAUAUUAGCAUGGAAUAAUGAGAUAGGACUUUUUUGCUAUUUUGUUGGUUUGCGCAAAGAGGUAAUGAUUAAUAGAGACAGUUGGGGGUAUUCGUAUUCCAUUGUCAGAGGUGAAAUUCUUGGAUUUUUGGAAGACGAACUACUGCGAAAGCAUUUACCAAGGAUGUUUUCAUUAA
Molecule: ribosomal RNA, 380 nt
Filed under: uncultured eukaryote
Lineage: Eukaryota
Description: partial 18S ribosomal RNA
Rfam family: Eukaryotic small subunit ribosomal RNA
Source: RNAcentral